Long non-coding RNA from Oncorhynchus tshawytscha (Chinook salmon), 918 nucleotides. Lineage: Eukaryota; Metazoa; Chordata; Actinopteri; Salmoniformes; Salmonidae. The record is from Ensembl.
AGAAGAAUGUGUUGCUGUGGGUCGAGGAGUAGGCAGACUUAACUGAGUUGAUACAUCUCCACGUGUGGAGGUGCUGGCUCUACCACUAUCACUAGCAGGCCGCUAGUUUCUAGAAGCUCCGCUACAGCUAGCUCCACAGUUGGGUGCACAGUUCACAUAUGCUGGUGUAGGUUGUGCGUAGAACCGGCUUUAUAUGAGAAUAUGUUUUGGAAAAUUCUGCACUAUGCUCUAACAUUGUCUACAUUAUUAGAAUGCAUCCAAAUGCUACUGUGCUUCCGACUCAUUUUCCAGCUGUUUUUUUCACAGCUGUCCUUCCUCUCUCUCCUCGGCUGCUAAGUGUGUGACUGUGAGUGAGUUGGCUCGGUGUGUCUGAUUGACAGGAACAACAGGCGUACAGAGGAGACACUCCCACACACAGCAACUCUACAGACAUGUCAGACUCCGAGACCGCCGCUCCGGCUGAGGCCCCCGUCCCUGCCGCAUGUGAAAGCAUCAAGGUGGACCUGGACAAAUGUGUGAAGGAGGGCGGUGACUGUAAGGAUCUGAUGGAGGCGUUUGCAGCCUGUCUGAAGAGUGCGGCGGAGGCGUCGUGAGGAGGAGCUAGGCUCACAGGAAAUGUCCACUGCAUUGAGUCCUCCAUGUUUACCAGUAUUCCCUUCUGCACAACGAGCACUGGGCUGAAUGAUACUGGCGGUGUUUGGCGCCUGGCAGAAACCCUCCACCUCUUACCUACCCCCCCCUCGAAGCUUAAAUGGUGUCUUCCGAUUUGUAUCCCCUGCUCUGCUCCCACCGUGGCUGAGUACAUCCAUUGGUAGACAAUUCCCAGAUAGCCCAUGGGUUUUAUGUAAGUUGUCCACUUAAGAUGCAUACAUUUAAAAUGGAAUAAUAAACUCUAAAAGAAAUUGGUAUAACAUUUUG